UACGGAGGGUGCAAGCGUUGCUCGGAAUUACUGGGCGUAAAGGGCGUGUAGGCGGUUUCGUAUGUCUGGCGUGAAAGCCCCGGGCUCACCUCGGGAAGUGCGUCGGAAACUGCGAGACUAGAGUCCCGGAGAGGGAGGUGGAAUUCCAGGUGUAGCGGUGAAGUGCGUAGAUAUCUGGAAGAACACCGGUGGCGAAGGCGGCCAUCUGGCCCACAUUUGACGCUGAGGCGCGAAAGCGUGGGGAGCAAACAGG
This 253-nucleotide ribosomal RNA is filed under the name uncultured bacterium. Its description in RNAcentral is "partial 16S ribosomal RNA". It matches the Rfam family "Bacterial small subunit ribosomal RNA", at positions 524 to 776 of the family's 1533-position model. The record is from RNAcentral.